GAUGAACGCUAGCGGCAGGCCUAAUACAUGCAAGUCGAACGAGGCCAUCUCUUUCGGGAGAUGGCUUAGUGGCGCACGGGUGCGUAACGCGUAUGCAACCUACCUUUAACUGGGGGAUAGCCCCGGGAAACCGGGAUUAAUACCGCAUAAUACUAUUUGAGGGCAUCUAAGGAUAGUUAAAGAUUUAUUGGUUAAAGAUGGGCAUGCGUGCCAUUAGCUAGUUGGUAGUGUAACGGACUACCAAGGCUACGAUGGCUAGGGGUUCUGAGAGGAUGAUCCCCCACACUGGUACUGAGAUACGGACCAGACUCCUACGGGAGGCAGCAGUAGGGAAUAUUGGGCAAUGGAGGCAACUCUGACCCAGCCAUGCCGCGUGCAGGAAGAAGGCCUUCUGGGUUGUAAACUGCUUUUAUCUAGGAAGAAAACGCCCAUGCGUGGGCAACUGACGGUACUAGAUGAAUAAGCACCGGCUAACUCCGUGCCAGCAGCCGCGGUAAUACGGGA
Molecule: ribosomal RNA, 504 nt
Filed under: uncultured bacterium
Lineage: Bacteria
Description: bacterial SSU rRNA
Rfam family: Bacterial small subunit ribosomal RNA
Source: RNAcentral